Molecule: long non-coding RNA, 306 nt
Filed under: Mus spicilegus (steppe mouse)
Lineage: Eukaryota; Metazoa; Chordata; Mammalia; Rodentia; Muridae
Description: lncRNA (ENSMSIG00000030754.1)
Source: RNAcentral
UUAACAGAGCUAUGAUGCCCUCCCCCCAGGUAUGAUUCUUCACUUUAAGUUUCUCUCAAUAGGUGACAGUUCCCAAGACCCUGGCUCUGCCUCUACAAAGUGAUUGAGUUGCCACUGUUAGGCUGGUCUCCUGAUGAUGCUAACUGUAAGGUGCAAAUGAGCUUGUGGAUGCAAGGGCCAGAACCCUCCUUACAUUGUAAAUCAGAAGUUCCCUGAAACAGAGAAGUUGGGAGUAUACAGAGAGGUGAGUAUGGUCUGAAGCUUGGCUUAAGUGGUGUUGCCAUGGCUUUGCAUGUCUCUGGUCCC